AAGUGUGCCUAUCUCCCUGCAGAAGCUUCCUCUCAAAGGAAAGCAAAAGUGGGAAAAGAGCUCCAAAAUUUAAAACCUGGAAAUGAGGCACAUCACUGGUUGCAGUAGAGGCAAGAGUAGGGGUGAAGGCUCAGAGCACUUGCAUGUUGCCUUGUCCUCCUCACCACCCCCACGGUGACAGCCUUCACCUGUCUCAGCCUUGGUUUCUGUGGCACUCCGUUGAUUGGCCCUGGACUCUGAGACCUUUAGAACCAAGGGUGAUACAAAAUACUCUGUUCUUAAUCCUCCCCAAGUUUUAUACCGCAUUCCUCCAGAGAAACACAGAACUUCUCCUCUUACCUUCAGGAAUAGUUUUCAUGGAAUCACGUUUUAAUGUUCUGUCCUCAUCUUUCGCCCACAGCUGGAAAAAAAAAACAUUUCACGUGUAUUUGUCUUUUCAUCUCUAUUUGUAAAAUUGACGUUAAGUUUCUUGUUCCCGUUUUUCUCAGGGUCUUCUUUACAAAGCUAUCGAAUAAAUUACCUCAAUGUCAGGAGGAGGAAGAUGUUCUUUCUCUGGAUGAACCUGGAUGCUUCCUUCUCCUGGACAAUGAGAAGCUUAUUUCAAGAACAUCGAAUUCCCCCACACUCCAUUCUCUGGGGCACCUGGUCACAAUGGCAGAGUCCUUGCUCUACAGUGAGGGGUUUCAUAAGUCCAAAAGGGGAGACGACCCCCCAUGCAGGUGGAGAGCUGAACAAGAACAAGAAGGAAGUUGUCAAGAGCCUCUGAGAAAGUUCACAAGGUCUGUGUCUUCCAAACAAGCAAGUUACACACCAAGGACAAAAAAUUCUUUCCUAUUCAAUGUCUAGCAGAUGUCCAACAAAAAAAGAUGAUCAUCUUAACCCAAAGAUGAACAAACUUCAAUAAGGUCUACAGCAUUGUCCCUCUGAUUUGAAGUCUCUAGUCUAUAAAGAUGUUGCAGUAGCUUCUAGUCUGUUAUCCCCAAACUAGUAUUUAAAAUGCCUUCUUGUAUAGUUUUCUAAGCAUGUAUGUAAUACUUGCCCCCUCCCAUCAUAUUCUUGGUUGCUCUAAAUCAGGAACAAAAAUAAUAGAGCAUAAUAGUUAAGAACAUGAUGUUGGACAAUUUACUAACCAUUAGAAUUCUAUUUCUUAAUAAACUCAGUCUUUUAUAAGAAAUAAGCACUCUAAUGCAUAAAAAACACUUUGUAACUCCCUGGCACCUGGUACUUAAAUAUUUUACAUUGCUACUAUCAUUAUUAUUAUUAUUAUUAUUAUUAUUCAUA
This 1281-nucleotide long non-coding RNA is filed under the name Mustela putorius furo (domestic ferret). RNAcentral's name for it is "lncRNA (ENSMPUG00000028612.1)". The record is from RNAcentral. Lineage: Eukaryota; Metazoa; Chordata; Mammalia; Carnivora; Mustelidae.